This 980-nucleotide long non-coding RNA is filed under the name Vulpes vulpes (red fox). RNAcentral's name for it is "lncRNA (ENSVVUG00000003383.1)". The record is from RNAcentral. Lineage: Eukaryota; Metazoa; Chordata; Mammalia; Carnivora; Canidae.
AGCAACCACUGGACUCCAUAUGCUCCGGGACUACUGUCGCUACCUGCACCCAGGGAGCAAUUUCUCAAGAUGAAUCAAUAAAACAGCUUCCACCUAUGAUCUACAUUCCUAUGUAGCCUGACAAAGAGACAGAAUGUGCUGAUCAAGUGGGACCUGAGAAUAUGUAAAUGACACCUUGCAUUGUGAACUGACUUGCAGGCGUAAUCGUGCCAACUCCAGCUCCUGUUACACUGCUUCCUGAGUCAGCGUGGCGAAGGCCUGGGCACAGACCUGAAACCAUCUCUGGUCUCAGGGGCUGGGGCAGCCAGUGUGAGGAGAUCCAGCCUGCCCACAGCUAACACACCACUUCCAGCUCUCCUUGUUUUCAACUGAUUCCCACAAUACUUACUUGGACAACAAAGCCAAAGAACUCAAUGCAUCAGGACAAAGUUUAUGUCUGCAUCCCUACGCAUAUGGAGAUUGGAAACUGGCACCAGAUUUAAAUCACACGCACAAAACAGAACUCUGGAUGUUACCACCGCUGCUCUGGCCUGGUCCUAAACCAGUUUUCCCCUUCCCAGUGAAGAAAACCACCCUCCUGCAUCUUUCUCGUUCCUUCCUCGCUACUUGGCCUCCAUCAACAAACCCUAUCUGUGUCAUCUGCGAUGCUGCCUGAAAUCUACCCAUUUCUCUCCAUCGCCAAGCCCACCUGGACCACUGUGACAGCCUGCCAGAUGGUCGUCCUGAGGGAUUCUUCGUUGCCUGCAACCAUCCCCCCCAUAACACGAGAGCCAUCUUUUCAAAACACAGUGGAUGCCAUCACUCCUGCUUAAACACUCUCAGUGGUUCUUGUAAUGGGAACCCUUAUUCUCAGCGGUUUCUGAAAGGUGGGCCACGGAAAGACAUCCUGCAACUUGUGGAUGGGAUCUUACAAUGGAAGAAGUGUUUUUGCAGAUGGAAUAAGGUUAAGGAUCUCGAGAUGAGAUCAUCCUGGAUUAGCU